CUAAAUGAAAGCAUAGAUAGAAUUGCUUGCUGCUUACUUAAAUUAAUGUAGUGAAGUGCAGUUUAUUUUUCUUCCUGGGAAAACCUGCUUGAUUAUUUUUGGUUUUGUAAUAUUUUUUUUGUUAGAUUUUGUUCGUUUUUUAAUUUGUAGUUGAGGUUGUAAAUGUCCUUUAAUUACAUAAGAGGAAAGAAAACUGCUCCUAGUGUUUUUGCAGUUUUAGUUGCCAUGCAGUUGCCAAUUCAAUGAUGCAGUUUUUCUGGAGUGAUUAAAAUAGACAGUGAGUACAGUGGUACAGUGAGUUUCAGAGAUUCACAUGCUGAAGAGAAGGUCCACACUCUUCCUGUAAUAUAACCCUGUGGCAGUGCAAUUGUAGUUUUUUAUUCUCUCACAGGCUUCCAUUUCUCAGUUUUUGUUCUUGGGAAAUUUUAUUGGUGAAAACACUGCUAAGAAAUUGGAAGCUAUCUCUAUCCCGUAUCUCCAGCCUGAUUAAUCAUGAUGUGGUAACUCCUUUCUUUUUUCCCUUCCCCCCAAACUUGUCCUGGCCUUCUUCCAUCAACAACAUCCCUGAGGAGCCUGUGAGAUCCUAAGCUAUUCUGGAGAGCUUCAUGUUGUCCAGCUCAGCAGUGUGCCCAGUUGCUAAACCUCAGCAUUCCACUAAGAAACAUUAAGGCCAGCCUGGCUGACUGUCCUGGCAAGUGCUUUGUAUUGGUGAAGCUGAGAAGGGGAUGUUCUGGUGGAGGAAUGCCAAAAUUUCUGUUUUCCUGUAUGUUCUCACGUGCAGAUCAUGUAAAGUCACUUCUCCUUUUCAGCAGAAGGGGAACAUAAUUUUUAUUGUGCAAGAAAGAAUAAAGGUAAGGUUCCCUGAUAACCUUACCUUGGAAAAAAUUAAAAUGUCUUAGCCUCACAUUUUGAUGAUAAGUAGUUACACUCAGCUAAGUCUCUUGCAAAAAUGCAUUUGAUUCUCAGCUUUUUUAAUUCAUUUUUAGUGCUUUUAGUUGUCCUUAGGCUGCUGUAAUUUCCCCCUGUGCUAAGGCUGAUUAGGACAGUGGUCAUCACAGUGAGACUCUGCUUUCUUCCUUCCUGGACACACCCUGUCCUUCAUCAUUCUCAGCCUGCCCCUUCCAGAAUGGAGGGAGGUGGUAGGCAGAGACACAGCCACAACACUGUCCUCCCAACCCAGAGCUCUGACCCUUCUUCUGCCUCUUCCAAAAGCCUCUUUGUCCCUUUUGGCUCAUGAUCAGAAUAAAAUAAUAAUCUGUUGUUUCCCUCCUGAGCA
This 1276-nucleotide long non-coding RNA is filed under the name Parus major (Great Tit). RNAcentral's name for it is "lncRNA (ENSPMJG00000010718.1)". Lineage: Eukaryota; Metazoa; Chordata; Aves; Passeriformes; Paridae. The record is from RNAcentral.